RNAcentral lists this unclassified non-coding RNA (204 nucleotides) under plant metagenome. Its description in RNAcentral is "partial contains small subunit ribosomal RNA and internal transcribed spacer 1". The stretch from base 1 to 46 matches the Rfam family "Eukaryotic small subunit ribosomal RNA", at positions 1786 to 1831 of the family's 1831-position model. The record is from RNAcentral.
AAGUCGUAACAAGGUUUCCGUAGGUGAACCUGCGGAGGGAUCAUUACUGAGAACUUGCCCUUAGGGGUAGAUCUCCACCCUAUGUUUACAUACUUUGUUGCUUUGGCAGGCCUGCCUUGGCUGCUGGCUUCGGCUGGUUAGUGCCUGCCAGAGAACCAACACCCUGAUUAAUUUACUGUCAGAGUUACUAUUAAAUAGUUAAAA